CAAUUUGAAUGAGAUUCAAAAACACAUCAUGGAGAGUUUGAUCCUGGCUCAGAAGGAACGCUGGCAGCGUGCAUAACACAUGCAAGUCGAACGUGAGUAUUCUUGCUUGCAAGAAUAUGAAAGUGGCGAACGGGUGAGUAACACGUAAGAAUCUACCUUUAGGACGGGGAUAACUUCUGGAAACGGAUGCUAAUACCCGAUAUGCUGUGGAGUGAAAGGAAUUUCGCCUAAAGAUGAUCUUGCGUCUGAUUAGCUAGAUAGGAUGGUAACUGCACACUAUGGCGACGAUCAGUAGCUGGUCUGAGAGGAUGGACAGCCACAUUGGCACUGAGACACGGGCCAAACUCCUACGGGAGGCAGCAGUGGGGAAUUUUCCGCAAUGGGCGAAAGCCUGACGGAGCGACGCUGCGUGAAGGAUGACGGCCUGCGGGUUGUAAACUUCUUUUCUCGAAGAAGAAUCAAUGACGGUAUUCGAGGAAUAAGCAUCGGCUAACUCUGUGCCAGCAGCCGCGGUAAGACAGAGGAUGCAAGUGUUAUUCGGAUUGAUUGGGCGUAAAGCGUCUGUAGGCGGUUUGGAAAGUCUUUUGUGAAAUUCUUCGGCUCAACCGGGGGUCCGCAAAAGAAACUUCCAUGCUUGAGGGAAGUAGAGGUACAGGGAAUUUCCGGUGGAGCGGUGAAAUGCGUAGAUAUCGGAAGGAACACCAAUAUGGCGAAGGCACUGUACUGGGCUUUACCUGACGCUAAGAGACGAAAGCUAAAGGAGUGAUUAGGAUUAGAUACCCUAGUAAUUUUAGCCGUAAACGAUGGAAACUCACUGCCGAGCCGGUAUUCGGAGCGGUGGUCAAGCUAACGCGUGAAGUUUCCCGCCUGGGGAUUACGCAUGCAAAUGUGAAACUCAAAGGAAUUGACGGGGACCCGCACAAGCGGUGGAGUAUGUGGUUUAAUUCGAUGCAACGCGAAAAACCUUACCAAGGUUUGAAAUCAUUCUAAAACUCUUUGAAAGAAGAGCCUCCUUCGGGAUAGAAUGACAGGUGGUGCAUGGCUGUCGUCAGCUCGUGUUGUGAAAUGUCAAGUUAAGUCUUGUAACGAGCGCAACCCAUGUCUUUUGUUGCUGUUUUACAGUGCUUAAAAGAGACUGCCGCUAUACAGCGGAGGAAGGUGUGGAUGAUGUCAAGUCAGCAUGCCCCUUAUAUCUUGGGCUACACACGUACUACAAUGGUAGGGACAAUGAGUCGCAAACCUGUGAAGGCUAGCCAAUCUCAAAAACCCUAUCUCAGUUCGGAUUGUACUCUGCAACUCGAGUACAUGAAGGUGGAAUCGCUAGUAAUCGCUGGUCAGCAUACAGCGGUGAAUACGUUCCCGGGUCUUGUACACACUGCCCGUCACACCAUGGAAGUCGAUCCUUCCCUAAGUCGUUACUCGAACCUUUAUGGACGAGGAUGCCGAAGGCAGGGUUGGUGACUAGGGUGAAGUCGUAACAAGGUAGCCGUACUGGAAGGUGUGGCUGGAAUACCUCCUUUUAAUGAGAUCUUGAGAGUAGAGAUGCUCUCAAAAAAGACCAAGCCGGAAG
This 1570-nucleotide ribosomal RNA is filed under the name Ostreococcus tauri. It matches the Rfam family "Bacterial small subunit ribosomal RNA". The record is from RNAcentral. Lineage: Eukaryota; Viridiplantae; Chlorophyta; Mamiellophyceae; Mamiellales; Bathycoccaceae.